CGCUGAGGGACCGGCCUCCCCCGCCCGGCUGCCAGGUGCCUCCCGCCCCGCUGCCCCGCGGCCUGCUCGGCGCCAGGCCCCAGGUACCGGAGGGGGGGGAGCCUGAGGCGGCCCCGCUUCCCCUCGCCCCUGCUGCCGGGCACCCGCCUCAGGGCAGCGGCGGGCUCUGGGCCCCCGCGGGCUGCCUUACCGUCAGCCGGCCGCGGGGUUGCCUUCACGUCGUGACGGUCAUCUUGCCUUGCAGGUCUGGCGGAGGGACAGACGGCCGGAGGAGGGGGAUGCGCUGCCCGCCGCCUCUGAAAUCUGUCGCUCUCGGGCUUUCCUUAAUCACGCUUUUACCAAGAGGAGAGGAGGUUACUCCGUAUGUCAAUAAUUUAAGAUACUGGGUUUUGACACUUCACUGUUUUCCCGUGGGAGUGUUUGGAGAUAAGUCCACACGCCAACAGGUUUGAAAUGAGACAUAUUGCUCCUGGUUUGGAAGCAGCUCUUAGAGCUGGGGGUACAGUACAGCGAACGCCAAGGGCCCUGACCCACGGGCUAAUGCCAUCGUUGCCAAGACUCCUUGAGAUGCUGGUGGAUACUGGGUCAGGCCCUGGAGGUUAUCUGUCUUCUUCCAUUUAACUGCAGGCUCAGAGCAAGCCUGAGCAGCUUUUCCUGCAGUGAGCUUAAGCGUGGGAUCAGUGCAAACACAUAUGUUCUUGUGCCUUCGUUGGACCUGGAAAACCCGGUGGGAGGAUGUAUGCAACUUAGUCGUGAUUGCUGCAAGCUGUGAGCAUGACCAGGGACACUGCAGAGCUUCAAAACCUUGUUGAAGACUAUGCUAAAGUUAAUUACAUUGGAUAUACAGCUGAUUUACGGCAUGCUGAAAGCAUCCCUCCUGUAGAAGAUACAGAAGAGUAAACAAUGUGAACUGGAACUUUUUUUGAUGUUCAAGUUUAACACAUUGCUUCAUCCUAAAAUAAUCCAGGAAGUUUUGUUUGUUUUGGUUUUGUUUUGUUUUUUUUUUUGUUAGACUAAAGAUAUAAUACUGAUUUUCAGUAAUUAAAAAUCAUAAUGUGUAUGACAUUUACAAGUUCUAGAAGCUAAAUCAAGGUUUUGUCUACCACUUAUGUGGUAUCUAGUAGUGCAUGUCCUAUUAUUUAGCUUAAGGGGAAAAAAUGUGCUGGCAUUAUUUUUUUCCAUCUGUUCCAUAACCUCUGAUACUGAGCUUCUAAAAUGCUCAAAGCAGACUAAACAGGUCACAGUCAAAACAGUAAGGUUGCUUUUCAUGCAUUCUUUAAAUCAGAUCGUUUAAUUACAGUUUUUUCAUUUGUUUUCUAAUUAGAAAACAGGUCCACAAUGUGGUAUCUAUCUUCUUCCAUUUGAAUCAAUAAACAGAGAAGUCAUGAGAAAGGGACCUCUUCC
This 1404-nucleotide long non-coding RNA is filed under the name Calidris pugnax (ruff). RNAcentral describes it as "lncRNA (ENSCPUG00000019254.1)". Lineage: Eukaryota; Metazoa; Chordata; Aves; Charadriiformes; Scolopacidae. The record is from RNAcentral.